Molecule: small nucleolar RNA, 48 nt
Filed under: Pyrobaculum calidifontis JCM 11548
Lineage: Archaea; Thermoproteati; Thermoproteota; Thermoprotei; Thermoproteales; Thermoproteaceae
Description: PCAsR60
Source: RNAcentral
GUGAUGAAGAGAACCCGGCGGACAUGUGACAGGAGGCAUCCUAUCUGA